This 2457-nucleotide long non-coding RNA is filed under the name Equus caballus (horse). RNAcentral's name for it is "lncRNA (ENSECAG00000047754.1)". Lineage: Eukaryota; Metazoa; Chordata; Mammalia; Perissodactyla; Equidae. The record is from RNAcentral.
GCUUUCAGUUGGGAGCUCCGCUGUGGCACCUUGGUUCUCCUCCAAAUGGAUUCUCUUCUCCACGUGGUGCCUCACCCUCCAGGGCCUCUUUAUGUGGUCCUCCUCUCCAGGAGGAUAGCUUCAGAGCAUGGCAGGUGGGUUGGAAAAGAACCAGCUCAACGUGCAAGCGUUAACCAAGCCAGUGCUCGUGUAGAGCUCCUAGUGUCCUGGUAGCUAAAGAAAGUCGGUGAAUAAGAAUGAGCUUUUCCUCAAAGUAUGCGAUACCGGGCCAACACAAACAACAGAAGUAUAUUAGACACACACACUCAGAAAUUCUCUUUCUCUUUAUUUAUUUGACUGCACCAUCUGCCAAAACAUCAAAACAAACAAAACAUAUUUUUACCAUGUUGUGAUUGUAGCAUAUUUUACUUCAUUACAAAAGUACAGGCAAUUCAUUGUAUGUCAUGCAAGGCUGUUCAGAGCAUGGGGGCGGGGAGAGGUGUUUCAAGAAAUUAGGAAAACAAUUCCAUUUACAAUAUCAUCAGGAAGAGUAAAAUAUUUAGGAAUAAACUCAACUGAAAACUAUAAAAUAUUGCUGAAAGAAAUUAAAGAAGACACAAAUAAUUGAAAAGACCUUUCACAUUCAUGGAUUGGAAGGCUCAAUAUUGUUAAGAUGGUGAUACUACCAAAAGUGAUCUACAGAUUUAAUGCAAUCCCUAUUAAAACCCCAAUGCCAUUUUUUUGCAGAAAUAGAAAAAUCUAUCCUAAAAUUCACAUGGAAUCUCAAAGGACCUCAAAUAGCCAAAACAAACUUAAAAAAAGAAGAACAAAGUUGGAGGCAUCACACUUUCUGAUUUGAAAACUUCUUACAAAGCUACAAUAAUCAAAACAAUGUGGUCCUGGCAUAAAGACAGACAUAUAGACCAAUGAAAUAGAACAAAACCCCAGAAGUAAACCCUUAUGUACAUGGUCAAAUGAUUUUUGACAAGGGUGCCAGGUUCAUUCAAUGGUGAAAGGACAGUUUUUUCAACAAAUGUUGUUGGGAAAAGUGGACAUCUUUAUCUUACAUCAUAUACAAAAGUUAACAUAAAAUGGAUCAAAAACCUAAACAUAAGAGCUAAACCGUAAAACUCCUAGAAGAAAACAUAGUGGGAAAGCUUCAUAACUUUGGAUUUGGCAAUGAUUUCUUGGAUGUGACACCAAAAGCACAAGCAGCAAAACAAAAAUAGAUAAAUUGGAAUUCAUCAAAAGUUAAAACUUCUGGGCAUCAAAGGACACAAUCAAUAUAGUGAACAGGCAACCCAUGGAGUGGGCGAAAAUAUUUGCAAAUCAUAUAUUUAAUAAGGGAUUAAUAUCUAGAAUAUAUAAGGAACUCCUGCAACUCCACAACAAAAACAACAAAACCCCCAAUUUAAAAAUGGAUAAAGGACCUGAAUAGACAUUUCUCUAAGGAAGAUACACAAAUGGCCAGUGAGCACACGAAAAUGUGUUCAAUAUCACUAGUCAUUAGAACAAUGAAAAUCAAAAUCACAACAAGAUGCACCUCACACCCAUCAGGAUGGCUACUACCAAGAAAACGAGAGAAUGACAAGUUUUGGUGAAGACUCAGAAGUUGGAACCCUUGUGCACUGCUGUUGGGAAUGUAAAAUGGUGCAGUCAUUAUGGAAAACAUUAUGGUGGCUCCUCAAAAAAUUAAAAAUAGAGUUAUCACAUGACCUAGCAACCCCACUCCUGGGUAUCUACCCAAAAGAAUUGAAAGCAAGGUCUUAAAGAGAUAUUUGUACACCCACGUUCCCAGCAGCAUUAUUCACGAUAACCAAAAGGUGGCAGCAACCCAAGCGUCCCUCAGUGAAAGAAUGAAUAAACAAAAUGUGAAUAUACAUACAGUGGAAUAUCAUUCAGCCUUAAAAGGAACAGAAAUUCUGGCAUUUGCUACAACGUGGAUGAACCUGGAAGACAUCAUGCUGAGUGAAAUAAGCCAUUCACAGAAAGACAAACACCAUUCCUAUGAGGAAGGCUCAGAGAAAAUCCCAUUCACCAAGGCCGUAAUGUACCUGCAUCACCAGGAAGCUCCAUGGUGGCCCCCCUCUGCAGACAGUGGGAGAGGUUUCUACAGAGCUGGGCUCGCUGAACGCAAGAGGGAUGAUAGGACCCUGGAACAAGAGUGGCUAUGUGGUGACGCAACUCUCAGAAAUCAGGUGAAUGCAAUGAUCAUAAUCAGCAAAAAGCUCAGAGGGGCAAUCAAGGAAGGCUGGACCACAGAAUGUGAUGGAGAUGGAGACCACAUCCCCAGGGGCAAAAUACCUGUCAACAAGAGCACUACGCAACUUGUGCCAUUGGAAGAAAUCGAGGAUGGAUAUUCAGGAGGCCGGUGAUUAGCCUUGAGCUAACAUCUGCUGCCAAUCCUCCUUUUUUUUGCUGAGGAAGACUGGCCCUGAGGUAACAUCUGUGCCCAUCUUCCUCUACUUUGUGUGUGGG